This 498-nucleotide ribosomal RNA is filed under the name uncultured bacterium. RNAcentral describes it as "partial 16S ribosomal RNA". It matches the Rfam family "Bacterial small subunit ribosomal RNA", at positions 29 to 523 of the family's 1533-position model. The record is from RNAcentral.
AUUGAACGCUGGCGGCAUGCCUUACACAUGCAAGUCGAACGGUAACGCGGGGCAACCUGGCGACGAGUGGCGAACGGGUGAGUAAUGUAACGGAACGUGCCCAAUCGUGGGGGAUAGCCCGGCGAAAGCCGGAUUAAUACCGCAAGAGACCUGAGGGAGAAAACGGGGGAUCGAAAGACCUCGCGCUGUUGGAGGGCCGGACAUCGGAUUAGGUAGUUGGUGGGGUAAAGGCCUACCAAGCCUGCGAUCUGUAGCUGGUCUGAGAGGAUGUCCAGCCACACUGGGACUGAGACACGGCCCAGACUCCUACGGGAGGCAGCAGUGGGGAAUUUUGGACAAUGGGCGCAAGCCUGAUCCAGCCAUGCCGCGUGCGGGAAGAAGGCCUUCGGGUUGUAAACCGCUUUUGUCAGGGAAGAAAUCUUCUGGGUUAAUACCUCGGGAGGAUGACGGUACCUGAAGAAUAAGCACCGGCUAACUACGUGCCAGCCGCCGCAGUAA